This 120-nucleotide ribosomal RNA is filed under the name Medicago truncatula (barrel medic). Lineage: Eukaryota; Viridiplantae; Streptophyta; Magnoliopsida; Fabales; Fabaceae. The record is from RNAcentral.
AGGUGUGAUCAUACCAACACUAAUGCACCGAUCCCAUUAGAACUCCGCAAUUAAGCGUGCUUGGACGAGAGUAGUACUAGGAUGGGUGACCUCUAGGGGGAAGUCCUUUUGUUGCACCUC